Molecule: transfer RNA, 69 nt
Filed under: Ictidomys tridecemlineatus (thirteen-lined ground squirrel)
Lineage: Eukaryota; Metazoa; Chordata; Mammalia; Rodentia; Sciuridae
Description: Spermophilus tridecemlineatus (thirteen-lined ground squirrel) tRNA
Rfam family: tRNA
About the family: Transfer RNA (tRNA) molecules are approximately 80 nucleotides in length. Their secondary structure includes four short double-helical elements and three loops (D, anti-codon, and T loops).
Source: Rfam by way of RNAcentral
GGUGUUGGGGCUCAGUGGUAGAGCGCUUACCUGGCAUGUAUGAGGCACUGGGUUCUAUUCUCAUCACCA